CUCCUGGAAACGGGUGGUAAUGCCGGAUGCUCCAUCACACUGCAUGGUGUGUUGGGAAAGCCUUUGCGGCAUGGGAUGGGGUCGCGUCCUAUCAGCUUGAUGGCGGGGUAACGGCCCACCAUGGCUUCGACGGGUAGCCGGCCUGAGAGGGCGACCGGCCACAUUGGGACUGAGAUACGGCCCAGACUCCUACGGGAGGCAGCAGUGGGGAAUAUUGCACAAUGGGCGCAAGCCUGAUGCAGCGACGCCGCGUGAGGGAUGGAGGCCUUCGGGUUGUAAACCUCUUUUGUUAGGGAGCAAGGCAUUUUGUGUUGAGUGUACCUUUCGAAUAAGCACCGGCUAACUACGUGCCAGCAGCCGCGGUAAUACGUAGGGUGCAAGCGUUAUCCGGAAUUAUUGGGCGUAAAGGGCUCGUAGGCGGUUCGUCGCGUCCGGUGUGAAAGUCCAUCGCUUAACGGUGGAUCCGCGCCGGGUACGGGCGGGCUUGAGUGCGGUAGGGGAGACUGGAAUUCCCGGUGUAACGGUGGAAUGUGUAGAUAUCGGAAAAGAACACCA
Molecule: ribosomal RNA, 555 nt
Filed under: Bifidobacterium breve
Lineage: Bacteria; Bacillati; Actinomycetota; Actinomycetes; Bifidobacteriales; Bifidobacteriaceae
Description: bacterial SSU rRNA
Rfam family: Bacterial small subunit ribosomal RNA
Source: RNAcentral